CUCCUAAGGCUAAAUACUCUCUAGUGACCGAUAGUGAACCAGUACCGUGAGGGAAAGGUGAAAAGCACCCCGGAAGGGGAGUGAAAUAGAACCUGAAACCGUGUGCUUACAAGUAGUCAGAGCCCGUUAAUGGGUGAUGGCGUGCCUUUUGUAGAAUGAACCGGCGAGUUACGAUUUGAUGCAAGGUUAAGCAGUAAAUGUGGAGCCGUAGCGAAAGCGAGUCUGAAUAGGGCGUUUAGUAUUUGGUCGUAGACCCGAAACCAGGUGAUCUACCCUUGGUCAGGUUGAAGUUCAGGUAACACUGAAUGGAGGACCGAACCGACUUACGUUGAAAAGUGAGCGGAUGAACUGAGGGUAGCGGAGAAAUUCCAAUCGAACCUGGAGAUAGCUGGUUCUCUCCGAAAUAGCUUUAGGGCUAGCCUCAAGUGAUGAUUAUUGGAGGUAGAGCACUGUUUGGACGAGGGGCCCCUCUCGGGUUACCGAAUUCAGACAAACUCCGAAUGCCAAUUAAUUUAACUUGGGAGUCAGAACAUGGGUGAUAAGGUCCGUGUUCGAAAGGGAAACAGCCCAGACCACCAGCUAAGGUCCCAAAAUAUAUGUUAAGUGGAAAAGGAUGUGGCGUUGCCCAGACAACUAGGAUGUUGGCUUAGAAGCAGCCAUCAUUUAAAGAGUGCGUAAUAGCUCACUAGUCGAGUGACACUGCGCCGAAAAUGUACCGGGGCUAAACAUAUUACCGAAGCUGUGGAUUGUCCUUUGGACAAUGGUAGGAGAGCGUUCUAAGGGCGUUGAAGCAUGAUCGUAAGGACAUGUGGAGCGCUUAGAAGUGAGAAUGCCGGUGUGAGUAGCGAAAGACGGGUGAGAAUCCCGUCCACCGAUUGACUAAGGUUUCCAGAGGAAGGCUCG
This 903-nucleotide ribosomal RNA is filed under the name Staphylococcus aureus. RNAcentral's name for it is "partial 23S ribosomal RNA". It matches the Rfam family "Bacterial large subunit ribosomal RNA", at positions 457 to 1368 of the family's 2925-position model. Lineage: Bacteria; Bacillati; Bacillota; Bacilli; Caryophanales; Staphylococcaceae. The record is from RNAcentral.